Triticum aestivum (bread wheat) is the source of this 122-nucleotide non-coding RNA. NCBI's taxonomy places the organism in Eukaryota, Viridiplantae, Streptophyta, Magnoliopsida, Poales, Poaceae. The record is from Rfam.
AUUGUACUCCUCCGUCCAAAAAUACUUGUCCUAGAAAUGGAUAAAAUGGAUUAUCUAUAACUAAAAUAAGUCUAGAUACAACCAUUUCGAGGAAAAGUAUUUCCGGACGGAGGGAGUAGCAA